This 433-nucleotide ribosomal RNA is filed under the name uncultured bacterium. Its description in RNAcentral is "partial 16S ribosomal RNA". It matches the Rfam family "Bacterial small subunit ribosomal RNA", at positions 29 to 507 of the family's 1533-position model. The record is from RNAcentral.
AACGAACGCUGGCGGCAUGCCUAACACAUGCAAGUCGAACGAGACCUUCGGGCUUAGUGGCGCACGGGUGCGUAACGCGUGGGAACCUGCCCUUAGGUUCGGAAUAACUCCCCGAAAGGGGUGCUAAUACCGGAUAAUGUCUUCGGACCAAAGAUUUAUCGCCUUAGGAUGGGCCCGCGUUGGAUUAGGUAGUUGGUAGGGUAAAAGCCUACCAAGGCGACGAUCCAUAGCUGGUCUGAGAGGAUGAUCAGCCACACUGGGACUGAGACACGGCCCAGACUCCUACGGGAGGGAGCAGUGGGGAAUAUUGGACAAUGGGCGAAAGCCUGAUCCAGCCAUGCCGCGUGAGUGAUGAAGGCCUUAGGGUUGUAAAGCUCUUUUACCCGGGAUGAUAAUGACAGUACCGGGAGAAUAAGCUCCGGCUAACUCCGUG